RNAcentral lists this ribosomal RNA (495 nucleotides) under uncultured bacterium. RNAcentral describes it as "partial 16S ribosomal RNA". It matches the Rfam family "Bacterial small subunit ribosomal RNA", at positions 28 to 507 of the family's 1533-position model. The record is from RNAcentral.
GACGAACGCUGGCGGCGUGCUUAAUACAUGCAAGUAGAACGCUGAAGGAGGCGUUUGCUCUUCUGGAUGAGUUGCGAACGGGUGAGUAACGCGUAGGUAACCUGCCCGGUACUGGGGGAUAACUUUUGGAAACGUUAGCUAAUACCGCAUAAGAGUAGAUGUUGCAUGUCUUUUACUUAAAAGGUUCAAUUGCUUCACUUCUAGUUGGACCUUCGGUGUUUUUGUUUGUUGGUGGGGUCACGGCUUACCAAGGCGAGGGUACAUAGCCGACCUGGGAGGGGGAUCGGCCACACUGGGAGGGGGACACGGCCCAGAAGCCUACGGGAAGCAGCAGUAGGGAAACGUGGGAAAUAGACGGAAGACAGACCGAACAACGCCGCGGGAGUGAAGAAGGUAAUCGGGUCGUAAAGCACUGUUGUAAGGGAAGAAAGAGUGUGAGAGUGGAAAGAUCACACUGUGACGGUAACUGACCAGAAAGGGACGGCUAACUACGUG